CAGGCAUUCAGCAAACAAUAACUGAGCAUCCACUCUGAGCUGUACCAGGGAUGGGGCUCAGAAUGUUCUAGGAAGCAUCCCUCCUUCACCUCUACAAGAAACCACACACCCAUAACCCCAGCCAGGGGAGGAACACAGAGCAGGGCACUGCGCCAUCCUCCGGUGGGGCUGGAGAGGGCUUCCUGGAGGAAGUGACCUUUCAGCUGUCACUGAGUGGGAAUUAGACACAUUCAGGGAGUGGGCAGGGUGCAGAAUGGGCUCCCAGGCCUUAUAGCAGGUACACAGGUAGGUCCAGAGGCGUAUAAAGCAUGGAGCAUUUAGGAACAGACAGUGAGGGAAGGGGCACAGGGGCUGGGCCCAAGGUCAGUAGGGCUGAGUGGGAUGGGCUUACGAACAGAACUGGGGCAGGGCAGGACGUGCACAGGGAGACGUGAGCAGAUUUGUAUUUUGGACCGAUUACUCCUCAGAGGGAGAUCAAAGCUCUUGCUCUUUAAUCCUCCCUCCCCAAGGGCCCAGAGCAGCUCUGGCCUCAGUUCCAGGCCAUGUCUUGGCAGAAGUAGUUGCCCUCACUGACCUACAGGCAAAAAUCCACAUUCCUUCCAAGCAGAACUGGCAACCCUUCGGGAUCCCUGACCAACCCCCAUGCAACGCAGCCUUGUCCACAACUCUGCUGUUUUCUCCGCAGGAGGAUGGAGAAGGGCUUGCCUCCCAGCUGAGGGUAUCCUGGAGGGCUUUGGGAGGAGCUGACAGUGGAGCUACGUGUUGAAGGCCCACCCUCACCUUACAGCACCCCCAGCCUGCAGAGUCAGAGACAAGAAAGCAGAACAAGGCGGUUCCUCCUCCUUCCUCCCCACACACCCACGCCUGCCACCUGGCCAAGGAGACGCCUCUCAAAGACACUGGUGCCUUGGAUGUGCAAAGAGGAACUGCCUGUGAGUGCGAAGAUCUUGCAGCCCCAGACUUCUCUCAAUGAGGCUGAGCUGGAUCAGGAUGACACUGAUGCUGCUGGUCGGGGGACCACACCUCGAGACCCACUGACACUAUCUUGGAUCCUCCUACAAGCCCAAGAGGUGCCUGUUUGGGUCAUCCCAUUGUACAGGUGAAGAGGCUAAGGACUGGAGGGGAGGGGCCUUGCUCAGGGCCCAGGAAGCCAGAGAACAAACAUCCGGAGUCUCUGGAAUCUCUCCUACUUUCCUUCCUCACAUCCCGAGGAUCUGGGAGCCAGCAUGAGCAUGCACACAGCGUGCGCACACACACACACACAC
RNAcentral lists this long non-coding RNA (1265 nucleotides) under Homo sapiens (human). RNAcentral describes it as "HSALNT0363695". The record is from RNAcentral. Lineage: Eukaryota; Metazoa; Chordata; Mammalia; Primates; Hominidae.